Molecule: non-coding RNA, 1656 nt
Organism: Misgurnus anguillicaudatus (oriental weatherfish)
Lineage: Eukaryota; Metazoa; Chordata; Actinopteri; Cypriniformes; Cobitidae
Source: RefSeq, a predicted model, not a curated record
UUAACUGAAUAGAUGGUUUGCGACAGGUACCUAUAACACACACUUGUGUCUCUUGAAAGCAUCUCCAAGUGUCAUUUAGAACUUAUUUAAUGAAUGCAUAAUAAAAUUAAUAAGAUACAGUGCUGGCCAGAACAUAAUCUUUUAACAACGGCCACAUCCAAUGAAACAAUAUGUUUAGCUGGCAGCAAACGUUGUAAGUCAAUGAAACCGAGACCUAUCAGCACCAUUACGUUAUUAAUGUUCACGACAUAAUUCCUGCAGCCGCAGUCGCGCAUACACGCGCAAGAUUUCACGCGCAAAAACCGUUACAACCGUUGCAGCGCGAGCACAGGGACUGAGAGGAACAGCGCACCUAUCUGAGGGACUGAAACAAAUAUGAGCACAGAAGUUAUUCAAUGGACUCAAGAUAUUUUGCACUCAAGAUGUGACUGGUUGACUGGAAAAAGUUUCCACAAAUUUAUCCUAAUUUCCUAAUUAUUUCAAGGUUGAUCUCACAGGAAUGCCUACUCUUUUUAACUGUGUCAUAUGCAGCAAACAAACAUUUUCUAUAAACAGACAUAUUGGCCUUUAUCACCAAAAUAGCCCAAAAUUAGAAUUCACACGUGGAUUAAAUAGUUGUGGCAAAAUAAACAAAAUCUUCAGUUCCUAUAGAUUAGGUUAAAAUGUAUGUUUGCUGCAAUAUAUAAUUCAGCAUGCAAUUUUGUUAAAAUGAUCAUCUUCUACUCCUUGUUUUAGAGAAUGAAAUUGAUGGGGAUACUGAGAAUAUGAGCUAAAUGUUUUCCUAAAAUAAAGGAUCAAGUUAAAUUCAUUAGACUACACAGAAACAAAUAAAGACUGAAAUGCCUACCAAGACUACACACAUCAGUCAUGAGUGUCCAACAAGUUACCAAUUAAACAAGGUGUGAUUAUCCCUUGUCACCAAAUACCAGUUCUUGAGAGACUGGUAAGAGAAUGGAACCACAAGAUUUCAUCAAAAGUCCAACAGAUAACCAGUGCAGAGACUGAGGAAAACCAAGACAUGUACAGCAUCGAAAGAGAGGACUGCAUGGCAUAGACAAUGACUGAGAGGACUAAAUCCCUAUCCAGCCCUUAAAGUCCCUUCAGUUCUUGCAUUUGAGGUCCAAAGCAUACUUGACACAGACAUCAAAAGAAACAUGCUGAAGAAUCUAGGCCUGGUGGCACAGAAAAAGAUUAAUGAGUGCCACAGAAGACAGGUUGGAGUGGAUAUCUGUAGCGAACUGGAUGAAGCAAAACAAGCCUACAUUGAUUUGGCACACAGAGGAGAGCCCAAGAUUCCUUUAUGUCAUUAAUCAGGUACCAAAUACACCCAACCCAGUUCUAUAAAAGGAAGCCCUUUGGGUGCAGAUUCAAUCCUGGAGAUAAUGAUGGAAGGUGUGAAAGUCUUUGAGGUAGAAGAUGUCACUAUAGCGCUUGUGCUGACUUCAUCUUCAGCAUUGAAAAAUUUAUUUUUAAAUUAAUGUAUGUUUAUGUAAAUGCAUAAAGUGGAAAGUAAAUACAUGAUGUGGAUGAAUCAACAUAAGAUAUAUUGAAUGAGACAAAACAAAAAUGCCACCUGCAGUUAUUAAAAUGGCCAAUUUCUUGUUUAAAUGAAUGUAUGUUUAUGUAAUGGCAUAGUGUAGAGAGUAAAUACAUGAU